CUCUUUAUAGAUUCAUACUUGAUUAUUUAAAUAUUUCAAAUCAAAGACCGUGAGUGGUUAGCACACACUCACUCCCUAAAUAAUAUGUAUACAUAUAUAUGUUUAGAAGCGAAUUUAGGAUAUAAAGUUCUUGAAUUAUAUAAGCUUAUAAGUUCUGAAAUUUAUUAUAUGUCCACAUUCAGUGGAUUUUUCAACUAAUACAUAGGGUUCAAACCAAAGUCGCCAAUACGUUCCAUGCUAGCUCCGUCCCGACUAUCGUCCGCGUCCAAAAUCAUAGCUGUUGGUGGGCGCUCUUUGAUACAAGAAGUCAUACAAUUGAUACUUUGAACUGCGCAAUUCUGAGAGCAUUUAUCUGACGUUGAGGUGCAUUUAACAACACAAGCAACUACUUGUUUGCCACAAGCAACCACACAUGGCCCUAUAGCUGUUUCACCUUGAGCAUUAAUUUUUGUAGAUGCAAAAAUAAGCAAAAGGAAAGCUAAAACAUGAAUUGGUGAAGUUGUUGCAAGAAAAGCCAUAGUGGAUUUAGCGGAACCAAAAUUUGUUGCCUUACCACUUAGGUUCUUCUACGAUGAUAUAAUAUCUUUUCAAGAAAAUGAUACGAGAAC
RNAcentral lists this long non-coding RNA (608 nucleotides) under Nicotiana benthamiana. Its description in RNAcentral is "long non-coding RNA (NBEN_LNC015503)". The record is from RNAcentral. Lineage: Eukaryota; Viridiplantae; Streptophyta; Magnoliopsida; Solanales; Solanaceae.